Molecule: small nuclear RNA, 100 nt
Organism: Mesocricetus auratus (golden hamster)
Lineage: Eukaryota; Metazoa; Chordata; Mammalia; Rodentia; Cricetidae
Source: Ensembl
GUGCUCAUUUUGGCAGCAUGUAUACUAAAACUGGAACAGUACAGAUAUUAGUAUGGCCCCUGAGCAAGCCAUGCAAAUUAAUGAAACAUUCCAUAUAUCU